GUGAGGAAUUUUGCGCAAUGGCCGCAAGGCUGACGCAGCAACGCCGCGUGGGUGAUGAAGGCCUUCGGGUCGUAAAGCCCUGUCAGGUGGGAAGAAAGGCCUGGAGAGGAAAGGUUUCAGGUUUGACGGUACCACCAGAGGAAGCACCGGCUAACUCCGUGCCAGCAGCCGCGGUAAUACGGAGGGUGCGAGCGUUAUUCGGAAUUACUGGGCGUAAAGCGCGUGUAGGCGGGGGGACAAGUCUGAUGGGAAAGCCCUGGGCUUAACCUGGGAAGCGCAUUGGAAACUGUUUGUCUUGAGUACUGGAGAGGAAGGGGGAAUUCCCGGUGUAGAGGUGAAAUUCGUAGAGAUCGGGAGGAAUACCAGUGGCGUAGGCGCCCUUCUGGACGGUAACUGACGCUGAGACGCGAAAGCGUGGGGAGCAAACAGGAUUAGAUACCCCGGUAGUCC
RNAcentral lists this ribosomal RNA (450 nucleotides) under uncultured bacterium. Its description in RNAcentral is "partial 16S ribosomal RNA". It matches the Rfam family "Bacterial small subunit ribosomal RNA", at positions 354 to 796 of the family's 1533-position model. The record is from RNAcentral.